GUUUAUGGCCACGCCACCCUGAACAAGCCCGAUCCCGUCUGAUCUCGGAAGCUAAGCAGGGUCAGGCCUGGUUAGUACUUGGGUAAGAGACCACCUAGGAAUACCAGAUACUGUAGGCA
RNAcentral lists this ribosomal RNA (119 nucleotides) under Pteropus alecto (black flying fox). Lineage: Eukaryota; Metazoa; Chordata; Mammalia; Chiroptera; Pteropodidae. The record is from RNAcentral.